This 81-nucleotide small RNA is filed under the name Arabidopsis thaliana (thale cress). Its description in RNAcentral is "ATSL263630". Lineage: Eukaryota; Viridiplantae; Streptophyta; Magnoliopsida; Brassicales; Brassicaceae. The record is from RNAcentral.
UUUAGCUAUAAAAAAUUGACCCGCGGUAUACUGCAGACAAAAUAUUCAAAAUUUUAAAAUCUACCAUAUAUUGUUACUUAA